UAUCGGGAUCGAAAGUGAACCCGUGAACCUGGUCAGAUCCGCAAGGAAGCAGCCACAGCGGGAACAUUGUGUGCCGGGGCGU
RNAcentral lists this signal recognition particle RNA (82 nucleotides) under Pseudomonas extremaustralis. Its description in RNAcentral is "Bacterial small signal recognition particle RNA". It matches the Rfam family "Bacterial small signal recognition particle RNA". Rfam says of the family: The signal recognition particle (SRP) is a universally conserved ribonucleoprotein involved in the co-translational targeting of proteins to membranes. Archaeal SRP consists of a 7S RNA and homologues of the eukaryotic SRP19 and SRP54 proteins. In most bacteria, the SRP consists of a 4.5S RNA and the Ffh protein (a homologue of the eukaryotic SRP54 protein). The record is from RNAcentral. Lineage: Bacteria; Pseudomonadati; Pseudomonadota; Gammaproteobacteria; Pseudomonadales; Pseudomonadaceae.